This 341-nucleotide long non-coding RNA is filed under the name Panax ginseng (ginseng). RNAcentral's name for it is "long non-coding RNA (PGIN_LNC015567)". Lineage: Eukaryota; Viridiplantae; Streptophyta; Magnoliopsida; Apiales; Araliaceae. The record is from RNAcentral.
UAGCCAUGGUGCGACCCAGCCUAUUUAAUGGUCCGGAUCUGAUGAUGGCCCAUAUGUAUUUAUUAUGACAAUGGAAGAGUCCUUAUUAAAAUAGAAUUGUGUUUCCUUAUUUGGAGGGAUAAGGAGUCCUUCUCCUAGUAGGAUACGGGUGGAGGUGGCUUCUAUAUAUAUGGCUACAAGCUAGGGUUUGAAGAAAGAAUAUCAUAGAACACAACAACUUGUACUCUCCAUAUACACAUCUUGUACUCCCAAUAUUAUUAUAGUGGAUUACUCUCUCUCCCCGUGGUUUUUUCCCAAUUGGGUUUCCACGUAAAUUAUUGUGUUCAUGAUUUAUAUUUCUU